Long non-coding RNA from Nilaparvata lugens (brown planthopper), 877 nucleotides. RefSeq lists it as uncharacterized. The record is from RefSeq and is a predicted model, not a curated record. Lineage: Eukaryota; Metazoa; Arthropoda; Insecta; Hemiptera; Delphacidae. The transcript has 3 exons.
GAGUCGUCUUAACGAUAGAAGUGGAAUUUGAAAUGUUUACCAAGAUGGCGGCCGACCUUCACAGUGAACUUGGAAUGCUGACAGCGCUCCAGUGGGCAUUUUGUUAACUACGAGAGUUACGAGACAUGUUUUUAUUAUUUGUAGGUUAUGUUGUAAUUUUGGCGCAAAAUAAUAGUUGUGUUUAUUUAUAAUCAAUAAUUAUUAUUAGUUUGCAAGUUAUAUAAAUAUUUUUGCUACAAAAGCCAAAGUUUUAAAAUAAAAUUAUUUUUCAAAAUCGAUUAGAGCUAGACUAUAUAGCGGUAUGAUAACAUAAAAUAAUGAUGAAGAUUGAUGUUGGUUAUUCUUCACUGUACCAGGUACAAGAAAACAUGCAGUCUGUAAUCUACCCCCAUGUCAGUGUAGAGAGGCCUGUUCAUGAAGACACAAAAUCCUUCCACGACACCAAAACAUAUUACACAGUGUAGAUGGACGGAUAGAAAGCGUGAACAUCAAAAGCCAUCGUGUGUGUUACCCAGUUUCCAUUCUGCAUCUAACAAUAGGAACCAAGCAUCCAACAUCAUAACUUUAUUAUUAUAUAGUCCAGACAAUGAAUGCUCAAAAGAGGGUAUAGAGAGAAAAGUUUGGAAGACUAUAAUUGACCCCGCAAUUUUGUUUUGGGUAUUAAGGAGGCAAAAAUAUCCACACCCCUGCCCCUUGUGAUAAGGGGGUGGGGUGGUUCAAAGGUACCAGUUUUUGGUUUCUCGCAUAUAACUCGAAAACUAUGUAUCUUACGGACAUAACUGUUACAUACAAAAGUAAAGCUUAUAUAAUUUCCUACAAUAUUCAUCUCACAACUUUUCUAGUUUUCGAGAUAUCCGCUCUUAAAUGUGUGACAUUU